This 253-nucleotide ribosomal RNA is filed under the name uncultured bacterium. Its description in RNAcentral is "partial 16S ribosomal RNA". It matches the Rfam family "Bacterial small subunit ribosomal RNA", at positions 524 to 776 of the family's 1533-position model. The record is from RNAcentral.
UACGGAGGGUGCGAGCGUUAAUCGGAAUUACUGGGCGUAAAGCGCACGUAGGCGGUUUGUUAAGUCGGAUGUGAAAUCCCCGGGCUCAACCUGGGAGCUGCAUUCGAUACUGGCAGACUUGAAUACGGUAGAGGGGGGUGGAAGUCCAGGUGUAGCGGUGAAAUGCGUAGAGAUCUGGAGGAACACCAGUGGCGAAGGCGGUCCCCUGGACCGAUAUUGACGCUGAGGUGCGAAAGCGUGGGGAGCAAACAGG